CCUACGGGAGGCAGCAGUGAGGAAUAUUGGUCAAUGGGCGCGAGCCUGAACCAGCCAAGCCGCGUGAAGGAUGACUGCCCUACGGGUUGUAAACUUCUUUUAUAAAGGAAUAAAGUGAGGCACGCGUGCCUUUUUGUGUGUACUUUAUGAAUAAGGAUCGGCUAACUCUGUGCCAGCAGCCGCGGUAAUACGGAGGAUCCGAGCGUUAUCCGGAUUUAUUGGGUUUAAAGGGAGCGUAGAUGGGUUGUUAAGUCAGUUGUGAAAGUUUGCGGCUCAACCGUAGAAUUGCAAUUGAUACUGGCAGUCUUGAGUACAGUUGAGGUAGGCGGAAUUCGUGGUGUAGCGGUGAAAUGCUUAGAUAUCACGAAGAACUCCGAUUGCGAAGGCAGCUUACUAAACUGCCACUGACAUUGAGGCUCGAAAGUGUGGGGAUCAAACAGGAUUAGAUACCCCGGUAGUC
Molecule: ribosomal RNA, 460 nt
Filed under: uncultured bacterium
Lineage: Bacteria
Description: partial 16S ribosomal RNA
Rfam family: Bacterial small subunit ribosomal RNA
Source: RNAcentral